Molecule: ribosomal RNA, 507 nt
Filed under: uncultured bacterium
Lineage: Bacteria
Description: partial 16S ribosomal RNA
Rfam family: Bacterial small subunit ribosomal RNA
Source: RNAcentral
AUUGAACGCUGGCGGCAGGCCUAACACAUGCAAGUCGAGCGGCAGCGGAAGGAAGCUUGCUUCCUUGCCGGCGAGCGGCGGACGGGUGAGUAAGGUAUGGGGAUCUGGCCGAAGGGGGGGGAUAACCACUGGAAACGGUGGCUAAUACCGCAUAAUCUCUAAGGAGCAACGUGGGGGACCGUUCAGGCCUCACACCUUCGGAUGAACCCAUAUGAGAUUAGCUAGUAGGUGGGGUAAUGGCUCACCUAGGCGACGAUCUCUAGCUGGUCUGAGAGGAUGAUCAGCCACACUGGGACUGAGACACGGCCCAGACUCCUACGGGAGGCAGCAGUGGGGAAUAUUGCACAAUGGGCGCAAGCCUGAUGCAGCCAUGCCGCGUGUAUGAAGAAGGCCUUCGGGUUGUAAAGUACUUUCAGUCGUGAGGAAGGUGUUAAGGUUAAUAACCUUAGCAAUUGACGUUAGCGACAGAAGAAGCACCGGCUAACUCCGUGCCAGCAGCCGCCGUAA